CUUCUUUAAUUCCUUUGUUGGUGUCUUCUUUAUCCUUUCUCUCUGUCUCUCACUCUCUCACUCUCAGUGUCACCGUUGCAAUGACUGGCUUGGCACAAAUGUCCUAUAUGCUUAAAUUCAUCAUCCUAUUUCAAUUUGGUUUAGUGAUCAUUCAACACCUGACCUGGAAGAAUUCAGAAUUCAGCGGGGGUACAUUCUCAGCUGAUGGAGAUGGUCAAGGGGUUACCACCAGUCUGUUUCUUGCGCUGAUAAUUUUUCUAGACAUUAGAUCUCACCAUUUGUUCCCAACAAAGAAAGAAAGACAGGACCACCAGACUCUACAGGUCCAGGCUCUGCAUUACCUUGAAUCAUAGCAUGUUAUUGUUGGAGAGAACUUUAAGGUCAUCCACAUCAUGGAGCUGAGGCCAAAAGGUUAGUGAACUGGUCCAAAUUAUGUAACUACUUGGUUACAAAGUUUGACCUCAGAUCUAACUGUUACCCUAGUAGACUUG
This 491-nucleotide long non-coding RNA is filed under the name Gorilla gorilla gorilla (western lowland gorilla). Its description in RNAcentral is "lncRNA (ENSGGOG00000044312.1)". Lineage: Eukaryota; Metazoa; Chordata; Mammalia; Primates; Hominidae. The record is from RNAcentral.